This 468-nucleotide ribosomal RNA is filed under the name uncultured bacterium. RNAcentral describes it as "partial 16S ribosomal RNA". It matches the Rfam family "Bacterial small subunit ribosomal RNA", at positions 28 to 507 of the family's 1533-position model. The record is from RNAcentral.
GACGAACGCUGGCGGCGUGCUUAACACAUGCAAGUCGAACGGAAAGGCCCUGCUUUUGUGGGGUGCUCGAGUGGCGAACGGGUGAGUAACACGUGAGUAACCUGCCCUUGACUUUGGGAUAACUUCAGGAAACUGGGGCUAAUACCGGAUAGGAUCUCCUGCUCCAUGGUGGGGGUUGGAAAUUUUCGGCGGUUGGGGAUGGACUCGCGGCUUAUCAGCUUGUUGGUGGGGUAGUGGCUUACCAAGGCUUUGACGGGUAGCCGGCCUGGGAGGGUGACCGGGCACAUGGGGACUGCGAUACGGCCCAGACUGCUACGGGAGGCAGCAGUGGGGAAUAUUGUACAAUGGGAGGAAGCCUGAUGCAGCAACGCCGCGUGCGGGAUGACGGCCUUCGGGUUGUAAACAGCUUUAGCCUGUGACGAAGCGUGAGUGACGGUAAUGGGUAAAGAAGCACCGGCUAACUACGUG